This 468-nucleotide ribosomal RNA is filed under the name uncultured bacterium. Its description in RNAcentral is "partial 16S ribosomal RNA". It matches the Rfam family "Bacterial small subunit ribosomal RNA", at positions 28 to 507 of the family's 1533-position model. The record is from RNAcentral.
GAUGAACGCUGGCGGCGUGCUUAACACAUGCAAGUCGAACGGAAAGGCCCAAGCUUGCUUGGGUACUCGAGUGGCGAACGGGUGAGUAACACGUGGGUGAUCUGCCCUGCACUUCGGGAUAAGCCUGGGAAACUGGGUCUAAUACCGGAUAGGACCACUUCUUGGAUGUUGUGGUGGAAAGGUUUUUCGUUGUGGGAUGAGCUCGCGGCCUAUCAGCUUGUUGGUGGGGUAGUGGCCUACCAAGGCGUCGACGGGUAGCCGGCCUGAGAGGGUGUACGGCCACAUUAGGACUGAGAUACGGGCCAGACUCCUACGGGAGGCAGCAGUGGGGAAUAUUGCACAAUGGGCGCAAGCCUGAUGCAGCGACGCCGCGUGGGGGAUGACGGCCUUCGGGUUGUAAACUCCUUUCGCUAGGGACGAAGCGUUUUUGUGACGGUACCUGGAGAAGAAGCACCGGCUAACUACGUG